CCCAGUCUCGAGGAUUGAAGAAUCUCCUACCAGGGACAGUAUCACUCCUCGGUCUUCACGGACUAAAAGAACGAAACUGGUUUUUUAAAAGUGUUUGGGACGUCCACCCCGAGGUAUACCGUGGGGGUGAUUUCAAAGCGCUGGCACCUCGGUUGCCCGAAUCCGUGGUGUGGCGAAUCUCGGUGUUCCCAUGGUUUAACUAGCCUGUUUGAAGGCACAGAUCAUUCUUCUGGGAAGUACAAAGGAAACCGUCAUCAACCCCCUUCGGGCGGGCGUGGCUUCCACAUCCUGGUCCACAGUUGCCUGGUACUCCAGAAAGACAGACUUCAGAGUGCUAAGCAGCCACCCUUCCACCCGCUGCCAUUGAAUGGAUUCUGACCAUAGCAACCUAUGGGGUUUCAAGGGCUAUAAACCUUUACGGAAGCAGAUAGCCUCAUCGUUCUCCCCUGGAGCUGCUUGUGGGUUCGAACAGCUGAUCCUGCAGGUAGCAGUGGGUCACUGACCCUACAGCACUCUCAGGGCUCCUUAGCAACUACCAUCUAACUCAACCAUUGUAACCUUGGACGACUCUGCCAGAGAAAUAAAAGUCCCCCAGCACAGUCGCAGAGCUCACGACAAACACCCGACGACGCUGAGGAGUGAUUCAGUCAUUGGAGAGAGCAUGCAGUCAUCGUAAACGGGUUAAAUUGCGAGAAUUUCAAGACGUAUUUUGGGGAAGGAUUAAAUAAAUCAAGGGACUUGCUGAAAGCAAAUAGUAUGUUUGCGUGGCUGAUUUGAA
Molecule: long non-coding RNA, 778 nt
Organism: Echinops telfairi (small Madagascar hedgehog)
Lineage: Eukaryota; Metazoa; Chordata; Mammalia; Afrosoricida; Tenrecidae
Exons: 5
Source: RefSeq, a predicted model, not a curated record